This 312-nucleotide non-coding RNA is filed under the name Colius striatus (speckled mousebird). Its description in RNAcentral is "Eukaryotic small subunit ribosomal RNA". It matches the Rfam family "Eukaryotic small subunit ribosomal RNA", at positions 1199 to 1401 of the family's 1831-position model. Lineage: Eukaryota; Metazoa; Chordata; Aves; Coliiformes; Coliidae. The record is from Rfam by way of RNAcentral.
AACAACACAGGAAGCCUCACCUGGCCCAGACAUAGACAGGAUUGACAGAUCGAGACCUCUGUCGAUUCUGUGGGUGGUAGUGCAUGGCCAUUCUUGGUGAACUGAUUUGUCUGGUCAAUUCUGAUAAUGAAAGAGAUUCUGGCAUGCUAACUAGUAAAAAAAAAAAUGUACCCCCACUCAGUUUGCAGAUGACACUGAAGCUGUGCGGGAGCGUAGACAUGUGUGAGGGCAGGAAGGCACUUCAGAGGGCCCUGGCCAGGCUGGAGUGAUGGGCCAAGGGCAAUGGGAUGAGGUUUAACAAGGCCAAGGGCU